GUGGGGAAUCUUGCGCAAUGGGCGAAAGCCUGACGCAGCCAUGCCGCGUGAAUGAUGAAGGUCUUAGGAUUGUAAAAUUCUUUCACCGGGGACGAUAAUGACGGUACCCGGAGAAGAAGCCCCGGCUAACUUCGUGCCAGCAGCCGCGGUAAUACGAAGGGGGCUAGCGUUGCUCGGAAUUACUGGGCGUAAAGGGCGCGUAGGCGGACAGCUUAGUCAGAGGUGAAAGCCCAGGGCUCAACCUUGGAAUUGCCUUUGAUACUGGCUGUCUUGAGUUUGGGAGAGGUGAGUGGAACUCCGAGUGUAGAGGUGAAAUUCGUAGAUAUUCGGAAGAACACCAGUGGCGAAAGCGACUCACUGGCCCAAUACUGACGCUGAGGCGCGAAAGCGUGGGGAGCAAACAGGAUUAGAAACCCCUGUAGUCC
Molecule: ribosomal RNA, 425 nt
Filed under: uncultured bacterium
Lineage: Bacteria
Description: partial 16S ribosomal RNA
Rfam family: Bacterial small subunit ribosomal RNA
Source: RNAcentral